UUUUAUUUCUCUCACUCCCUUUCCUUCGUUUUUCUAAAUUGUUUGAAUAUUUAAUGUAUCUCUUGGUUCUUUUGGUGACAUCACUAUGCAUUUAUUAAUCUAUGCCCCUAAACUGCUUCCUUUUGUUCUCAGCCAGGGUCCAGUCAGGAAAUAGAAACCAUUCUAGUUAUCGAAUGGAGAGAGUUUAAUAUAAGGAAGUGUAACCUGGGUCACUGAAAGACUACAAAGGGGACUGUAAAAUAUCAUGAGAGGAGGAAACAUUUGUCACACUUAGGGCUGAAAGAAAAAAGAGAAGAGACUGUGAUUAUUAACAUUUAGAAGCUUAAAGGAGGAGUCCAUGGAGGUGAAAGUCAGACCUCCAAGGAGAAGGUGAUGUUUGAUUGGUGCUAAUGUCUCUUCAUUAGUAAAAGCCUGGGAUCCAGACUCUGAAGAGGAAAGCGCAUCCCACCUGGCAUGUAGUGGUGUCUCAGGAAGAGGAGAGGGAGUGCAGAGAGGCUGGUUCUAUGAAUUGGAAAAACUUCAAACUGGACUCCACUGCUGUUACCAGAAGGAACUUCCAGUGAGGAAGUGAGGAAAUAUGUCUGGGGUGACUCUUGUGAGAACCACUAACGGACAGGAAGCCCAUAGGAAGCAACAGAUAGUAGAUAGGAAGGAGCAAGUCCCUUCUUCCUUCUCUAGCCUUAGUGUUCCUCUAGUACUCCCUAAGAACAGACUUCAGGAGGUCCACUGACAAAGCAAAAAUGAUGUUUGUAGAGUCCCAGUCCAACAUCACAAAGUGGAGGAUAAAAGGGCAGACUUGGAGCUGAGAGCUGUUGCAGUAGAAUCCUCUCCAUGGCCCCACUUGCCACGGAGCAGAGUUCAGUACACGCAUCACCAAGCCCAGAAGUGCUCCCUCACUGCAUCUCACCUCCAGGAUGGACCCUCGGCAGGUGUAUUGUUCUCCACUGGAGCAACGUGUUCCCUUGCACUUGAGCUGAACAUGAGAACUUGUCAAAGGCCAUUCCUCAUCGUCCCAUUGUUGAUUUAUUUAACUCUGCAAAAUAGCUUAUACAGCCUCUUUCCCUUUGCCCGAGACACACAUUGCAUUUGAAUCCAAGGGCUUAGCGGAAGGCCUAUGAAACCCAUGUUGACCAUAAGAUGAGGGCUCAGAUGGGUAUGCACCAACUCCUAAAUCCUUAUUUUAAUGAGGCAAAACCUUAGACCCUUCCUGUUUUUCCUUUCAGAUCAUUAUUUAUCAGGACACUUUGGGUCCUGCAUCUUGUCCCCACUAUUUAAUUACCCUCUUGUCUCUAUUGUCACUGUAUCAUGCACCUAUUUCUGUUAUUGUCUUUGUGUGUAAAAAAUUACCCAUCCUUCAUUUUCCAAUGGACUGAACAUAGGAGAUUCACAGAUGAUCUCCUAUACCCAGAUCACCACUUGCUGUCUAUAUUUGGAGUGAGAGAAUGAAAGAAUGAAAGCCAUGUAUUUUGAGUGGGUAAUAAUUAAAUUGAGAAUGAUGCUGUCUACAUCUAUCCCUGGCAAGUAAGAAGGGAAACAUCCUGAGACACUUGUAUUUCUUUCUUUUUUUUUUCUUUAAAGAUUUUAUCCAUUUAUUUGGCAGAGAGAGAGAUCACAAGCAGGCAGAGAGGCAGGCAAAGAGAGAGGAAGGGAAGCAGGCUCCCCGCCGAGCAGAAAGCCUGAUGCAGGGCUCCUUCCUGGGAUCCUGGGACCAUGACCUGUGCUGAAGGCAGAGGCUUUUACCCACUGAGCCACCCAGGUGCCCCUGACACUUGUAUUUCUGAAAGGAAAACCUAAACACGUCUUCAUUGUACUUAAAGAGGGGAAGACUCUGGAGAUAUUGAUAUGAGGGUACUGGAGUAGGGUCCAGGGCUGGAGUGGAUUUCUGUCUGAGCUUUUAUGCGCCUGCAUAGUGUAUGUUUCAAAGCCAGGAUUUAUAGCUCACUUUCUCUCUACCUCCAGCCACCCCUUCCCUUUUCUUAACUUUUCCUUAUAGCUCUUACUGACAGAUCACAAAGUACUGUAACUGUUCUCAGUUCAAACCAGCAGUCCUGUUGUCAGACCAAGUAUCCAAUUGUAGGCUUCAGGAAACAUCUCUACCUCUCUUGCUUUUCUGUAAAUGUGUGAGUUUAGGUUGGGUGGGCUAUAUACUUAAAGGGGAAAAUAACUUUUAAAAUGUAUCAGGGUAUGUUUGUCAAAUAGGAAAGUGAACAACCGCUUUUGACAGUGGCUAGGGAGAAACUGGAUUUCCCUAAUCACCCCCAAAGUCAUCCCUUGUAUCACUCUAAUGCCACCUUUCUUGAGCACCCUGGAAUCCUCUGGUUACCAAUGAAUGGGCAUUUAAAGACUUUCUAGAAGUGCUCAUCCUUUAUUGUGUUCUAUUAAAGCCUCAGGCAUACACCCUGGCUCCCUCUCUGACCUCUCUCUCUCUUUUUUUCUUUCUUUCUUCUUCUUCUUCUUUUUUUUUUUUUUUUUUUUUUGCUACAGAGCCGGGGAGCAAGGCUGGCACCACAUGGGGAGUUUCCAUGUGCGGAUGUCCACAUCCUUCAUUCACAUCCUUCAAGGGUUUCUUUUAACAUUUUCUGAUUGUGUUUCUGAGUACAGGGUGUCAACAGCUCUCAGAACUGUUAAGUUUUCUAUUUAUCCUCAGGCCAGGAAAAGGCACAGAUCACUGCAGUGUAAAAUUACCAGUGGUUUUGACAGUGACCUGGAAGAACUGUGGAAUGAAGAAAUUUAGCCUUGAGAGCUGAGGUCCAGCCCCAGGCCCAUCUUAACCAAGAAGUUCUGCUCAAUUAUACAGGUCAUGAGAAGUUCUGCUAGUCCUGAAAAUAUUGAACUCAUCAAACUUAAGUUGGGUGUUGUUGACAUGUCUUGAUGAAUGGCCAGUUGUGGCCACCAAGUACCGUAUUUACUUGUUUGUUUUCUCCUCCAUUCCACUCCUACACAAUCUUAAUUUCAAAAAGUCAUUCUAUGAGGUUGGAAAUUUUCAUUUUAUUUGUUCAGUAGGAGCUUUCCAAAUCAGCACAAACUUUUCUGAAGGCUUAAAAAGAUUAGUUGGAAUGAUGAAAGAUGGCCAUAUUUGCUGAAAAUAAAAGGAAAGGGACUUACUGCUUUGGAAUUGCUCUUGCCAAACCUUUAGAGACAAAAUGUCAUAAUCAUUAAGAAUUCAGGCCUUAGAGCUGGACCACCUAGCUUGAAGUCAGCUCUGCCACUUCCUAGCUGUGAAUCAGUGGGAAAGUUACCCUAUUUGCCUCAGUUUCAUCAUGGGAUGGCAGUUUUUAUAGGCAUUUUUGCCUACUUUCUAGGACUGUUGUGAGUUAAAAGGUAUGAAGCACUCAGAACAGGGCUUGGCACAUGGAAAGUUCUCAAUGAAUGCUAGCUACUAUUUUAAUAAGAUGGUAACUUAGAAUUGUUGCAGAUGUAUUGUGAAUAUGGAAUCACAAAGUUCACUCUAGGUGUAUAGAAAUAUAUACUGAGAGAAGGGGAUUGUGCCAAUAAACAUGAUAUAGCUCAAGAUAGAUGUAUCUAUGUUAGGAGAUAAUUAUUACAUGUUUCCUCAGUCUAUUAAGCCACCCCUUCAUUAGAUCCCCUUUUAAAACAGUCCUGAGCCUUUUACAUCAAGUUCUUAGUGUUUACAAAUCUUGGUGAGUAGUUACUUCUUGAAGGUAGUCUAUUAAUCUAUUACCUUGUUUUUGGGGGCAUUUUAUCUUCUUGAGAUGUAACCUAGGCACUGGUCACUUGUUUCCCUAACUAAAAGAGACACACAUGAAGGGCUCCAGAGCUCACUAAUCUUCCUUAAGAGGAUAGGAGUUCCAGAUACCAAAGGGUCUUCAAAAUCCUUCUCACAAAAUUCUUCCUUAAUUCAAGGCACUUUUAUAUCUUCAAUGGGAAUGACAGAUUUAAAGGAUUAUGCAAUUGGUUCUUCUGUAUUUCUCCUUUUGGAAAUUCUGCAUAUGGUCUUGCGCUGUCUUUGGAAUGCAGUAUCAAUUGUGUCUUGGUGCAUCCAUCAAAACUUCCAAUUUAACUUUCUGUUACAUUUAUAAACCCAUCCUUGGGUUUGUACCUCAUCAUGGUACACUGGAUACAGAAUAUUUACAACUCCCCGAACCUCCAUGUUGAACCAGUAGAGUUAGGGAUAAGUGAGGAAGGAAAUUAACAUCGACUGAGUUCAAGUAAUUUGCUCAAGAGUCACAUAACUAAAGAAUGGCAGAGCCAGAUUUCCCCUCCAGAUCUGUGUGACCUAAAAUCCAGGUUCAUUUGCUGCAUGAUGAGGUAUUUAUGCAAAAUCUAUCAAAGGAAAUGCUUCAUUACAUCUUUUUUUCCUUGAGCUCUUGUGUUUAUGUUCAUCAUUCUUUUAAAAUGCAGUCAAAUAGUUUCGGUUUUUUUUUGGUAAAUGUAAGAAGAUGUCAAAAAUUUAGGCAUUUUCUUUCCAUCUGAUCCAGUCUCUUUCUUCUACCUCAUGAAUAAGGAGUAGAUAACUUCCACUUCACAGCCUUUGAGGGCUUUUUUUUUUUUUUUUUAAGAAAAACUAUAAAAUUAGUGAUUCUGGCAUUUUCCCCAAAGGAUGUGUUUGUUUACUUGGUUAUUAAUAUUUGAACUCCACACUCUAAAUUCAGUUUGCCAGAGAAGAGAAAAUCACGUUUAUGUGCAUUCUUGAUUUAUUUCUUCCCUAGUAUCCAUGUGAGUUUCAGAAGCCAAAACAUAGCUUCUGCUUCCUAACCUUUUCUAAAUAGAUCUUUCCAUCAAAAUGCUUUAAAACUAUUUUUUGUCCAUAUUUAGACAUAUACUUAGGAUACUUUAGAGUACCAAGGAAAGAGAGAUGCUCCUGAGAAACAAUGGGGGAAAAAAACAGGUUACCUUUCAGGAAUGAAAAGUAGAAUGGUUUUUGACUUCUCACUAGCAACACUGGAUGCUGGAAGACAAUGGAACAAUAUCUUCGAAGUUCUGAGGGAAAAUAAUUUUGAUCAUUGAGUUCUAUACCCAGCCAAACCACCAGGUAAGUAGAGAAGAGAAGAACAUAUCUAGCAUGUAAGUACAGUAUGACAGUAGGUGAUGACUAGUUUAGAAUGAUAGUAGUAACCAAACUAUCAUAGUUUAUACUUAAGAAGGUAAUUGAAAAGGAACUCCAGCAAAAUGGAAAACAUCAUGAAGGAGGAAGACUCCUGGGUGAGACCUAGGAAAUAAUAGCUCUCACCUGGAGGGGCAGGGUGGGAAGCCAGCAGGUGAGUGGGCAGUGGCUUAGGAGCAAGCUGUCCAGAUGGGAGCAGAAAUUCAAACACAGCUGGGUGGGUGUCUCAGGAAAGAAAGAGAUUGGUCCACAAGUGAAAAUACUUAUAUAUAAUUAUGAUCACAUAAAUCCUGCAUUAUAGAUUAGAGGCUAUUGUCUGUUAGAGUCAGCCCCUAGAUGAACCUACUUCAGGCCUUAAGGAGCAGAGAGGAGCAGAAAUGUUAUCAGUUUUGACAAUUGAAAUGUGUAAGUAGAGUUAACAACAGAUGCAUGGAUGUGGAGUGGGAGGGCAUGUGGAGGAAGAGGGAAGGACAGAGCCAACAAUAUCUUUAUCAAACACAUAUGAAGUUGCUGAAAUGAUAAAUAGACAUUGGGUAUAUUAUUUAACACUACAAAUAUAACCAAUACAAGAACGUUAAAGCUGUAAGUAUUAAUAGUUGGAAAGAGAGAGGCAUAUAGAGUGAGAGGGGAAAAUGUAAAGGAGCCAUAUAAUAGCAGGGAGUAAACAGUUAUUGUUUAAAAGGGGGGAUCUGUUUCUCCCUCUCCCACUAUCCCUCCCUCUGCUCAUGCUCUCCCUCGUGCUCUCUCUCAAUUAUAUAAAUAAAAUUUUAAAAGAAAGAAAAAUAGAGAUAUAACCCUAUUGGAAUUAAAAAGAUAAGCACUGGAAUAUUAUAAACAGAUAAAGAAAUAAACAUACAUUAUUAAAAUUGAUUAUGUGUAGGAGAGGAGUUAGGCAUUGAGAAUGAAAAAGGUAAGAUGGUGGCCUUUUACUAUAAGCCCUUAUGACAUCAUUUGUUUUUUCAUGUACAUGUAGUAUAUGGACUAUAUAUAUUUUAAAUAGCUCUUGUGAAACCAUGUCGAUUGACUCUUUGAACAUUCCAGUCUGUCCUGGAGACAGUGGUGGGAUGGAUUGUAAUCAAAGAUAACUGGUUUGGCCCCCGGAGUACGCAGAUGGGAAGAAAGGUGGGUUCGGGAGUGUGGCCAUCAGAAAGACCUUCUCAGCCAGGGAUCAGAAUGGACUGUGUUUCCUGGGAAGGCGUUCUACGGAUUAAUGAUAUACCAAUGAACUUCUCUACCAAUUCAAUCAAAUAAGCACAGAAGUCCAAAGAGGCAGGCUCUGGAGCAGCAGGUGAUUAAGAUGGGGAGUGACUGGAAUAAACCAGGGACAAAUUAGAAAAUGGCCUGACACCAUCAUUGUGACGAGCAGGAGAUGGAAGCCAAAAAUAUUUACGAGUCAGUUAGCUCACCUUUAAAUGCUACUGAAUAUGGGCCAGGCUAGACAGGAACUAUGCAGGUUGAUCUUCUUAAUUUGAAUCUAGGCAAUGGGGAAUGGAAACUCAUGUUUCUCUGUCCAGCUAUAUAAGCUUUUGGUUCUUACGCACAAUUUCCAUUUUGCCUUCUUGCUCUGCGUACCACUGAUUUUACCAAUUGCUCUUAUAAUUGACUUUUGCUCCUGGAAGAAACUCCUAGAAUGUUGGAAUUUCUCUAUUACAUGUUUUACCCCAAAGAAUGUGUCAAUCAGUGCUAAAGCAAUAGUCUUGGGGCAGACAGCCAACUUGCAUCUGAUGACAACAUUGCAGUAGAGGUCGCAAUAUGCUGACUUCAGAAUGAGCACAAGACUCCGACUGAGAUCCUGGAAGAACAGCCUGGAGCAGAUGGGAUGGGCAAGCAGGGUAUUUGCCUCACAGCUCAGAGAAGACUAGUGGCUGCAAAAUACUAACCCUUUGUUCUUUCCUGUUGCUCAUAAGUGGGUGAAAUGUUGCUCAUAACUGGAUUUCUAAGUUCGAAAGCCUAAAGCAAGCUUUGGCCCAAAGACUUCCAUGGACAUUUGUGUUAACUUUGUGAACGUGGAAGUAACAAUAAGAAUUAUAGGAAUUCAGGGGUUUUAGCAGCUGUCUAUUUUUUUUUUUUUAACAGGCUGCAUUUGCAAGAGUUUAACAUUUAGGGGUGGCUAGGACACCCAGACAGCCUCAGAUGCUUUCUGUUAUGUUGAGAUUGACAGCUUUCCAAUGAGCUCAGAGUUUCUGAAUUCCUAGAAGCCAUUCUGAGACCUUCCUUAAAAGAACACUUGGCCCCUGGUACACAUAUUUACUAUACCUCUCCAUCAUUGGCAAGGUUGGCUCCAACCCUGCAUCAGGAAAUGGGAUUCUGGGGCACAGAGGUAAUACAAAAAGGCAUCAGUGGAUGCCAAAGUCACCUAUUCAGACAAAUCAAACAGGAAGUCAGUUCUAUGGUCUAUUUAGUUUAGUAAUAAAAGGAACACUAUCUCUCCAAUCCAUCAAGUUCCCGGUUCUCAGACAACUUCCAUCAAAUCCUUGGCGGUACAGACCCAAGACUAAGAAGUUGCAAUUCUCUAGCAGGGGCAAAAGGUGACUGAGAAAGAGUCUUGUCUGUCACCACCCCUUGGGCAAUCGGGGGAUUCCUCAUUUUAAGAGCCUAGGAGACCAUUUCAAUAUGUGUCAGCAUUUUCCUUAAUACUUCUCAGUUUUCUUUCUCUCUGAUGGAGUGGAGGUUGAAGAGAAUGUUAGGAUUCACUACCAAGAAUCGCUGUGGCCCAUUUCUUGUGUUACCGUGGUGGGUAGCUCAUCUGUAGAAAUCCUUCCAUGCCCUUCGGUAGACUUGGCAUCAGGCAAGAUGGAGGUUUUCAAGCUCUCCCGAGGCAGAGACUGAGGCUGUCACUGGGGAAGCUGCACCUGGACCGGACCCAUUUGUUCUGAUGGCACCGGGUCCUGCACUAUCUGUGCAGCCCUAAAAAUAGCUCGCAAUUAACAUUGCAUUUCAAGAAUUGGAAAAUUUCCCAGAAGUCCAUUCUUUUUUCCUUUUCUAUUUCAUUACAUUUUGCAGUAAUAAUACACAAGCCUGCAGAAAACAUGACGGGUAAUGAAAAAAUGUAAUUAAUAUAAGCAGUGUAAAGCAUGUUUUUUUUUCUCUGUUGUCCUUGCAGAAAAUUGCUGCUUUAAACCAAGCAGGAUGUGAAAAUGCAUAAAACCCCCCUUUAAUCUGCUGUGGUUUGUAAAUAUCUUAUGCAAAAGAGUUUAAGUCAACUGUCAGAUUCUUUUUUUUUUUUUUUCUUAACAUUAUCACGUAUUCUUGUAAAAAAAAUUUUUUUCCUGCAGGAUAAAUUGAGUGAUUGGGAUAACUAGUUUUGAUGGGCAAGGAAUGGAGGUGACAGCGAGUAUCUCAAUGACACACCCCAAAACAGGAAAAGCCUGCUUUUUAGACUCUCUGUCCUUUGUAUUCCUCUGAACAGCGUUAAAUGUUCUGCUUGCUGGACGCCCGAUUUUGGCACAGUACUUGGGAAAAGGAAAUUAUUGCUACUAUUACACACCAACAUACCCUGUCCCGUUAAUCGAAAUAAAGUGAUAAAGAGGCCAAGAAGCUGUGGUAUAUGCCCGUGGUCCUCAGACCAUUUUAGCUCACUUAUCUGUACCAUGAGCAAUACGGAGAUGUGUGGGACUAGAAGGUCACAGAGGAAUUUUAAAGCUGAAAUACAAAACAUUAUUCCCCAAAACAUCUUCCAAGGCCAGACGGCGAAAAUGCUUACGGUUUGUUUUCAUUUGUUCUUUCCUUUUUUUUUUUUUUUUUUAAACUGCAGCUGACAUCCAUUAUUGGUUAUUGUUUAUUUCUAUCUUGAUCCAGGUUCUAAGAGUUUCCCCAUGGCCCCGGUGUGGGCGAGCUUUGACAUCGCACUUGGGAACCACGGGACGAGUCCCCUCUGCUGCGUGGGGAUCCCCGGCAAGGGGCGGUUCCCCCAGCUGAGAAGCGGUGUCUCUCUCCUGUGGAGUUCUGGGCAGCCAUUUGGUGUCCCAGAUGUAGGAAAUGAAAUAACCCACGCUCAUCCAGUCACAGAAGGCCCAUCUGGCACCCAGGAACUUUGCACCAUAGAGGCACACAGGCGUGAGCUCACUUUUGUUAUGGCAUUUCAUCAACAGAGCUGCAGCGAGCCAGAAAAGAAGGACUUUGGGAUGAUAACAAUCAUUUUCCACUCCCUCCCUUUCUGCCUGUUCCUCUCAAAACACACACAUGCACACAUGCACACACACAUGGCCUUAACCUUUUUAAAACAUAGGGGCCAGGUAGAAAAAAAAUAGAGGGGAGAUUCAUCCUUCAAAAGGUAGCUUUUUUUGUUUUUUCCCCCAAGAGGGUCUGAAGGAGAAAUUUCCAUUAACAGCUAAAUCCCUCCCCACCGCCUCUCUGUCCACAUUAUUGUUUUUCUGCCCUUCCAUUCUAGGACUCGCAGGUGUCGGCAUAAAAUGCGACCAGUCAAGUCUUGGCUAACUCACUUCUUGUACAUCACCCUAAAAAUAAGGAAAAGCAGCAGCGGGAGGGAUUUCAUAAAUCACACACUACCGUACUCGCUUUCUAGUCCUGAAACCAAAGUCACAGGAGAGUCUAAUAAAUGACCUCAACGUU
Molecule: long non-coding RNA, 9637 nt
Organism: Mustela lutreola (European mink)
Lineage: Eukaryota; Metazoa; Chordata; Mammalia; Carnivora; Mustelidae
Exons: 2
Source: RefSeq, a predicted model, not a curated record